GGGAGGAGCUUGCUCCGCCCCGACGACGAGUGGCGAACGGGUGAGUAAUACAUCGGAACGUGUCCGCUCGUGGGGGACAACCAGCCGAAAGGUUGGCUAAUACCGCAUGAGUUCUACGGAAGAAAGAGGGGGACCCGCAAGGGCCUCUCGCGAGCGGAGCGGCCGAUGACUGAUUAGCCAGUUGGUGAGGUAACGGCUCACCAAAGCAACGAUCAGUAGCUGGUCUGAGAGGACGACCAGCCACACUGGGACUGAGACACGGCCCAGACUCCUACGGGAGGCAGCAGUGGGGAAUUUUGGACAAUGGGCGCAAGCCUGAUCCAGCUAUUCCGCGUGUGGGAUGAAGGCCCUCGGGUUGUAAACCACUUUUGUAGAGAACGAAAAGACACCAUCGAAUAAAUGGUGUUGCUGACGGUACUCUAAGAAUAAGCACCGGCUAACUACGUGCCAGCAGCCGCGGUAAUACGUAGGGUGCGAGCGUUAAUCGGAAUUACUGGGCGUAAAGGGUGCGCAGGCGGUUGAGUAAGACAGAUGUGAAAUCCCCGAGCUUAACUCGGGAAUGGCAUAUGUGACUGCUCGACUGGAGUGUGUCAGAGGGAGGUGGAAUUCCACGUGUAGCAGUGAAAUGCGUAGAUAUGUGGAAGAAACCGAUGGCGAAGGCAGCCUCCGGGGACAUAACUGACGC
RNAcentral lists this ribosomal RNA (685 nucleotides) under uncultured beta proteobacterium. Its description in RNAcentral is "bacterial SSU rRNA". It matches the Rfam family "Bacterial small subunit ribosomal RNA", at positions 71 to 746 of the family's 1533-position model. Lineage: Bacteria; Pseudomonadati; Pseudomonadota; Betaproteobacteria. The record is from RNAcentral.